RNAcentral lists this ribosomal RNA (367 nucleotides) under uncultured organism. Its description in RNAcentral is "bacterial SSU rRNA". It matches the Rfam family "Bacterial small subunit ribosomal RNA", at positions 527 to 896 of the family's 1533-position model. The record is from RNAcentral.
CGAGGGUGCAAGCGUUAUCCGGAUUCACUGGGUUUAAAGGGUGCGUAGGUGGGUUGGUAAGUCAGUGGUGAAAUCCCCGAGCUUAACUUGGGAACUGCCAUUGAUACUAUCAAUCUUGAAUACUGUGGAGGUCAGCAGAAUAUGUCAUGUAGCGGUGAAAUGCUUAGAUAUGACAUAGAAUACCAAUUGCGAAGGCAGCUGGCUACACAAAUAUUGACACUGAGGCACGAAAGCGUGGGGAUCAAACAGGAUUAGAUACCCUGGUAGUCCACGCCCUAAACGAUGGAUACUCGACAUUUGCGAUACACAGCAAGUGUCUGAGCGAAAGCAUUAAGUAUCCCACCUGGGAAGUACGAUCGCAAGAUUG